Molecule: ribosomal RNA, 253 nt
Filed under: uncultured bacterium
Lineage: Bacteria
Description: partial 16S ribosomal RNA
Rfam family: Bacterial small subunit ribosomal RNA
Source: RNAcentral
UACGAAGGGGGCUAGCGUUGCUCGGAAUUACUGGGCGUAAAGCGCACGUAGGCGGCUUUCUAAGUCGGGGGUGAAAUCCUGGAGCUCAACUCCAGAACUGCCCUUGAUACUGAGGAGCUCGAGUCCGGAAGAGGUGAGUGGAACUGCGAGUGUAGUGGUGAAAUGCGUAGAUAUCGGGAGGAACACCAGUGGCGAAGGCGACUUCCUGGCCUGUUCUUGACGCUGAGGCGCGAAAGCUAGGGUAGCAAACGGG